Molecule: small nuclear RNA, 108 nt
Organism: Hyaena hyaena (striped hyena)
Lineage: Eukaryota; Metazoa; Chordata; Mammalia; Carnivora; Hyaenidae
Source: RefSeq, a predicted model, not a curated record
GUGCUCGCUUUGGCAGCACAUACACUAAAGUUGGAAUGAUAACAGAGAAGAUUAGUGGGGCCUCUGUGCAAGGAUGACACACAAUUUCAUGAAACAUUCCAUAUAUAU